GAGGUUAAGCGACUAAGCGUACACGGUGGAUGCCCUGGCAGUCAGAGGCGAUGAAGGACGUGCUAAUCUGCGAUAAGCGCCGGUAAGGUGAUAUGAACCGUUAUAACCGGCGAUUUCCGAAUGGGGAAACCCAGUGUGAUUCGUCACACUAUCAUUAACUGAAUCCAUAGGUUAAUGAGGCGAACCGGGGGAACUGAAACAUCUAAGUACCCCGAGGAAAAGAAAUCAACCGAGAUUCCCCCAGUAGCGGCGAGCGAACGGGGAGGAGCCCAGAGCCUGAAUCAGCAUGUGUGUUAGUGGAAGCGUCUGGAAAGGCGCGCGAUACAGGGUGACAGCCCCGUACACAAAAGCGCAUGUGCUGUGAGCUCGAUGAGUAGGGCGGGACACGUGGUAUCCUGUCUGAAUAUGGGGGGACCAUCCUCCAAGGCUAAAUACUCCUGACUGACCGAUAGUGAACCAGUACCGUGAGGGAAAGGCGAAAAGAACCCCGGCGAGGGGAGUGAAAAAGAACCUGAAACCGUGUACGUACAAGCAGUGGGAGCACAGGUUUACCUGUGUGACUGCGUACCUUUUGUAUAAUGGGUCAGCGACUUAUAUUCUGUAGCAAG
Molecule: ribosomal RNA, 608 nt
Filed under: Salmonella enterica subsp. enterica serovar Newport
Lineage: Bacteria; Pseudomonadati; Pseudomonadota; Gammaproteobacteria; Enterobacterales; Enterobacteriaceae
Description: partial 23S ribosomal RNA
Rfam family: Bacterial large subunit ribosomal RNA
Source: RNAcentral